RNAcentral lists this ribosomal RNA (164 nucleotides) under Primulina cordifolia. Its description in RNAcentral is "5.8S ribosomal RNA". It matches the Rfam family "5.8S ribosomal RNA". From Rfam's summary of the family: 5.8S ribosomal RNA (5.8S rRNA) is a component of the large subunit of the eukaryotic ribosome. It is transcribed by RNA polymerase I as part of the 45S precursor that also contains 18S and 28S rRNA. Functionally, it is thought that 5.8S rRNA may be involved in ribosome translocation. Lineage: Eukaryota; Viridiplantae; Streptophyta; Magnoliopsida; Lamiales; Gesneriaceae. The record is from RNAcentral.
ACAACGACUCUCGGCAACGGAUAUCUCGGCUCUCGCAUCGAUGAAGAACGUAGCGAAAUGCGAUACUUGGUGUGAAUUGCAGAAUCCCGUGAACCAUCGAGUCUUUGAACGCAAGUUGCGCCCGAUGCCUUCGGGCUGAGGGCACGUCUGUUUGGGCGUCACGC